GCAAACCCUCCUGGGAAUGGCAGAGCAUUAUAUGGGGGGAAACACUCCAAUACUGGACUCGCUGGCAACUUAGGAAUGGGGAAGCUCUUUUUUGUAAGGAAGAUAAGUGGAUUUCUAAAUCUUUUCCCCGCACACCAACUGUUAAAGCAUCGCAUGAUCCAUUUGUUGUAAGGGUUUCUCAACUCAUUAAUGCUUCUUCUAAGAGCUAGG
This 210-nucleotide unclassified non-coding RNA is filed under the name Hevea brasiliensis (rubber tree). Lineage: Eukaryota; Viridiplantae; Streptophyta; Magnoliopsida; Malpighiales; Euphorbiaceae. The record is from RNAcentral.